GACGAAGGAUCCAAGCGUUAUCCGGAUUCAUUGGGUUUAAAGGGUGCGUAGGCGGGUUUGUAAGUCAGUGGUGAAAGCCGGUCGCUCAAUGAUCGAACUGCCAUUGAUACUGCAGACCUAGAAUAUAGAUGAUGUUGGCGGAAUAUGACAUGUGGCGGUGAAAUGCAUAGAUAUGCCAUAGAACACCGAUUGCGAAGGCAGCUGACAAAACUAUUAUUGACGCUGAUGCACGAAAGUGCGGGGAUCAAACAGG
This 253-nucleotide ribosomal RNA is filed under the name uncultured bacterium. RNAcentral describes it as "partial 16S ribosomal RNA". It matches the Rfam family "Bacterial small subunit ribosomal RNA", at positions 524 to 776 of the family's 1533-position model. The record is from RNAcentral.